UAUGAGUAAAUCAAAAGUGGAGAAGAGAAGAUCUGGAAAAUGCAAAUCGAUUUAGAUUCACAAAAUUUAUUAACUUUUUGGAGUUUUUCUACUCCCAAGAAUAUGCAGUAUAUUAUGUCCAAGAAACAUCAGUUGUGGCAGGGAAUGGGGGCAUCAAAGGGAGAAAAGUAGUUGUAUCCAAAUAAAAGUUCUUUGCAAAUGCUGAAGAAAACCAGAGAUGAUGUUGCAUGGCAGAAUUCAUCUGUUCCAGCAAGUGUAUAUGCUGUAGAUGGAGCAGCAGCUGAAUUGCUGUAGAAAUUAAUUUGCCCCACACAGAAUAAGUUGAAUAAUUUACUAGAAUAAACAUGCAGGGCUAUGAUAGGAAACCAUCUAUUCAGUGUAUCUGUAAGGGGAAAAAAUGAAAGUAAUCUUGUAACUUGCUCUUUGUAAGCAGAGAGAGAAGACCAAGAUUUCCUGGGCUCUGUGUGUGAUAGGGUGGAGAAGCAGGGCAAAGAGCCCCUCUGUGUGCUACCAUCUUGAUGAGCAAAUAGGGAUACCUGGAAGAACAGACCCAACAAUACUUGCACAUUGAAAGCACAAAGGAGAAGUCUUUAUGGUUGGCCCUCAUAUUGGUGCAUGUUCCUUUUCCCUGGAGGAAGGAAAAAUCAUUAGAAAUCUGUUCCUGGAGCAGUGCAGCUGUGUACCAUGCCAGACACGGGAUGUGUGACAGUUGCAUCUGGUUUCUGUGUGAUGGUUACAAAGCCUGUAUGGUUGCUGUCAAUCAUACGGAGUAAAGUGAUGGGAUGCCCCAGGUCUCCAGCAGCUGAAACCUGACAGAGGGGUGUGAACUCCUUGGCUCUUCCUGUUCAGUGGGACGUAGCUAUGAUGUUGAUCAGAGGGUGAAGUAGAUAGAACAGGUCACUUCCAGUCUUCACCCAGGGCAGUGUCAAUGAAGACCUUUUCUUGAAUUCAAGUAGACUUUAUCACAAUGAUCUCUCAUGCCUGCAUGCUCAGUGACUUUUUUUCAAAGAACUCGAACGUAUCUGAGAGGCACAAUUUCCUUCUACAAAAGCUGUGUUGAUCUUUCUGUAAAAAGAGAGGUCGUUAGAUUGUUGCCAGGAAGGGGCAUUCAAAAGCUGCAAAUUCAAUGGUGAUUAAAAAAUAAGAUUUAUCAAAACCCAGUUGUGAAAUAGAAUUUUUGUCUUUGGUUACAGAGCUGUGGCUUUAUUAAACACACCAAAUAUUGGGUGAUUUCAGACACUGACUGCAAAAUGGUUUGUUUUGUGAUUUAGCGGCAAACAUGUUUUGUAUGCAGACCUUAUUUGAAUGCCAAGUCUGAAAUUCUAGCACCAAGCUGUUUUUCUAGUUGUUUAUCCUUCCGGCAGAAGUAGUGGCCACAUUAGUUUACACUUUCAUAAUUACCAUGUGUGAGAGAGGAUUUUUGCCAUAUAUAUGUAUAUAGUUACUCCCCUCAAUUUGUAUCCACGAAGAGCUACGUGGGAUUACCUGUAAAAUCUGUGUCUGUUCAGCAGCUGUUAGAUAAGUAGCACUGUGUUUUUUCCAUGUUGUCUUUAAGUUAUUCUUGCUUUGGGGGAACUGCUGUGAGAAAUAGUCAUUUUUGAAUCCUUGGAUUUUCUUUUUCAGAAG
This is a long non-coding RNA of Cygnus olor (mute swan), 1626 nucleotides long. RefSeq lists it as uncharacterized. Lineage: Eukaryota; Metazoa; Chordata; Aves; Anseriformes; Anatidae. The transcript has 4 exons. The record is from RefSeq and is a predicted model, not a curated record.